This 534-nucleotide ribosomal RNA is filed under the name uncultured bacterium. Its description in RNAcentral is "partial 16S ribosomal RNA". It matches the Rfam family "Bacterial small subunit ribosomal RNA", at positions 355 to 901 of the family's 1533-position model. The record is from RNAcentral.
UGGGGAAUAUUGCACAAUGGGCGAAAGCCUGAUGCAGCAACGCCGCGUGAGGGACGACGGCCUUCGGGUUGUAAACCUCUUUUAGCAAGGAAGAAGCGAAAGUGACGGUACUUGCAGAAAAAGCGCCGGCUAACUACGUGCCAGCAGCCGCGGUAAUACGUAGGGCGCAAGCGUUAUCCGGAAUUAUUGGGCGUAAAGAGCUCGUAGGCGGUUUGUCGCGUCUGCUGUGAAAACCCGAGGCUCAACCUCGGGCCUGCAGUGGGUACGGGCAGACUAGAGUGCGGUAGGGGAGAUUGGAACUCCUGGUGUAGCGGUGGAAUGCGCAGAUAUCAGGAAGAACACCGAUGGCGAAGGCAGAUCUCUGGGCCGUAACUGACGCUGAGGAGCGAAAGGGUGGGGAGCAAACAGGCUUAGAUACCCUGGUAGUCCACCCGUAAACGUUGGGAACUAGUUGUGGGGUCCAUUCCACGGAUUCCGUGACGCAGCUAACGCAUUAAGUUCCCCGCCUGGGGAGUACGGCCGCAAGGCUAAACU